This 67-nucleotide transfer RNA is filed under the name Cucullaea labiata. RNAcentral describes it as "tRNA-Asn". The record is from RNAcentral. Lineage: Eukaryota; Metazoa; Mollusca; Bivalvia; Arcoida; Cucullaeidae.
CUAAUAAGAGUUUGGGUUGAAUAACUAGCUGUUAAUUAGGAGGUGUAGAAUAAUUCUACUUAUUAGG